GUUGAACGCUGGCGGCAUGCCUUACACAUGCAAGUCGAACGGCAGCAUGGAGAGCUUGCUCUCUGAUGGCGAGUGGCGAACGGGUGAGUAAAGCAUCGGAACGUACCGUGUAGUGGGGGAUAACGUAGCGAAAGUUACGCUAAUACCGCAUACGCACUGAGGUGGAAAGCAGGGGAUCGUAAGACCUUGCGCUAUACGAGCGGCCGAUGUCAGAUUAGCUAGUUGGUAGGGUAAAGGCCUACCAAGGCGACGAUCUGUAGCGGGUCUGAGAGGAUGAUCCGCCACACUGGGACUGAGACACGGCCCAGACUCCUACGGGAGGAAGCAGUGGGGAAUUUUGGACAAUGGGGGCAACCCUGAUUCAGCCAUGCCGCGUGAGUGAAGAAGGCCUUCGGGUUGUAAAGCUCUUUCGGCCGGGAAGAAAUCGCACAGGCUAAUACCCUGUGUGGAUGACGGUACCGGCAUAAGAAGCACCGGCUAACUACGUGCCAGCAGCCGCCGUAA
Molecule: ribosomal RNA, 504 nt
Filed under: uncultured bacterium
Lineage: Bacteria
Description: partial 16S ribosomal RNA
Rfam family: Bacterial small subunit ribosomal RNA
Source: RNAcentral